CGCUUGUGGCGCCAUCUAGCGGCCAAAAUUGAAAGUGGUUGCCGAAAUGAGACAAAUCUCCACGUUUGGAGGUGGAAAGCUGUCUGUGCUACUUGCUAAUAGCCUAGCCUAUACUAGUUGCUUAUGCUUACAGUUACAGCUUAGUGAUUGAACUGAACAAAUAAAAACAUGAACUUGAAAUCUGAAACUGAAAGUCUUAAACUCUUUAGAGAGUAGAGACCAAUGAGAAAUGGCGUCAAAAAAGCGAACAGCUUCUACAAGUUUACAAAGUCAAAGUCAUGUGGGUGCUGUAGGUGGUGAUGAUCAAGUUGAUUGUGAAACUGUAAAUGUAGAGAAUAAUGAUUCUGGCAGCGAUGGGCAUGAUUCUGGCAGAUUUGUCAUUCUCAUUCAAUGUUAGACCAUUGAGCAUUGACCGCUUUCUCAUUAAAGCAAAUCUGAAAAAAAUACACUGUUUUGAUUGUCA
Molecule: long non-coding RNA, 463 nt
Filed under: Daphnia magna
Lineage: Eukaryota; Metazoa; Arthropoda; Branchiopoda; Diplostraca; Daphniidae
Description: uncharacterized LOC116926100
Source: RNAcentral